GCCGAUCGGCGUGACCAAGGUGCUCCCGGGCCAACAGGCCCGGGGUUAAACGGGAAACAGGUGCGCGCGCUUUUACGCAAGCCGCAAUGCCUGUGCUGCCCCCGCAACGGUAAGCAGGAACACGACGCGUCACUGCGCCACUGGGCCCCCGGCCUGGGAAGGCGGCGCGCCGCGGCGGGGCCGGAUUCAUCGGCCCCGCUCCACUGCGAGCCCGGAUACCGGCCUCGGUUGCGCGUAGCGG
This 241-nucleotide non-coding RNA is filed under the name Aedes aegypti (yellow fever mosquito). Lineage: Eukaryota; Metazoa; Arthropoda; Insecta; Diptera; Culicidae. The record is from RNAcentral.